GGAAGUAAAAGUCGUAACAAGGUCUCCGUUGGUGAACCAGCGGAGGGAUCAUUACCGAGUUUACAACUCCCAAACCCAAUGUGAACGUUACCAAACUGUUGCCUCGGCGGGAUCUCUGCCCCGGGUGCGUCGCAGCCCCGGACCAAGGCGCCCGCCGGAGGACCAACCAAAACUCUUAUUGUAUACCCCCUCGCGGGUUUUUUUUAUAAUCUGAGCCUUCUCGGCGCCUCUCGUAGGCGUUUCGAAAAUGAAUCAAAACUUUCAACAACGGAUCUCUUGGUUCUGGCAUCGAUGAAGAACGCAGCGAAAUGCGAUAAGUAAUGUGAAUUGCAGAAUUCAGUGAAUCAUCGAAUCUUUGAACGCACAUUGCGCCCGCCAGUAUUCUGGCGGGCAUGCCUGUCCGAGCGUCAUUUCAACCCUCGAACCCCUCCGGGGGGUCGGCGUUGGGGAUCGGCCCUGCCUUGGCGGUGGCCGUCUCCGAAAUACAGUGGCGGUCUCGCCGCAGCCUCUCCUGCGCAGUAGUUUGCACACUCGCAUCGGGAGCGCGGCGCGUCCACAGCCGUUAAACCCCCAACUUCUGAAAUGUUGACCUCGGAUCAGGUAGGAAUACCCGCUGAACUUAAGCAUAUCAAUAAGCGGAGGA
Molecule: ribosomal RNA, 643 nt
Filed under: Trichoderma harzianum
Lineage: Eukaryota; Fungi; Ascomycota; Sordariomycetes; Hypocreales; Hypocreaceae
Description: eukaryotic LSU rRNA
Rfam family: 5.8S ribosomal RNA (bases 257-410)
Source: RNAcentral